RNAcentral lists this ribosomal RNA (190 nucleotides) under uncultured Vibrio sp. RNAcentral describes it as "partial 16S ribosomal RNA". It matches the Rfam family "Bacterial small subunit ribosomal RNA", at positions 434 to 619 of the family's 1533-position model. The record is from RNAcentral. Lineage: Bacteria; Pseudomonadati; Pseudomonadota; Gammaproteobacteria; Vibrionales; Vibrionaceae.
UCAGUCGUGAGCAAGGGUGUGUAGUUAAUAGCUGCACAUCUUGACGUUAGCGACAGAAGAUGCACCGGCUAACUCCGUGCCAGCAGCCGCGGUAAUACGGAGGGUGCCAGCGUUAAUCGGAAUUACUGGGCGUAAAGCGCAUGCAGGUGGUUCAUAAGUCAGAUCUGAAAGCCCGGGGCUCAACCUCGGA